Molecule: ribosomal RNA, 108 nt
Organism: Bison bison bison
Lineage: Eukaryota; Metazoa; Chordata; Mammalia; Artiodactyla; Bovidae
Source: Ensembl
GUUUACAGCCAUACCACCAUGAACAUGCCCAAUCUUGUCUGAUCUUGGAAGCUAAGUGGGGUCGGGCCUGAUCAGUACUUGGAUGGGAGAAAACUGCCAGGGUAGCCC